This is a non-coding RNA of Parelaphostrongylus tenuis, 73 nucleotides long. Lineage: Eukaryota; Metazoa; Nematoda; Chromadorea; Rhabditida; Metastrongylidae. The record is from the annotation of a GenBank genome assembly.
GCCUCGGUGGUGUGAUGGUGAAACACUCUUCCUCGGAUAGGAUGAAACACGGGUUCGAUUCCUGGCCGAUGCC